RNAcentral lists this non-coding RNA (28 nucleotides) under Homo sapiens (human). The record is from RNAcentral. Lineage: Eukaryota; Metazoa; Chordata; Mammalia; Primates; Hominidae.
UUGACCAAAGGAGCCAAAAUGCGGUGAC